UAGGGAAUCUUCGGCAAUGGGGGGAACCCUGACCGAGCAACGCCGCGUGAGUGAAGAAGGUUUUCGGAUCGUAAAGCUCUGUUGUUAAGGAAGAACGAGUGUGAGAAUGGAAAGUUCAUACUGUGACGGUACUUAACCAGAAAGGGACGGCUAACUACGAGCCAGCAGCCGCGGUAAUACGUAGGUCCCGAGCGUUGUCCGGAUUUAUUGGGCGUAAAGCGAGCGCAGGCGGUUAGAUAAGUCUGAAGUUAAAGGCAGUGGCUCAACCAUUGUAGGCUUUGGAAACUGUUUAACUUGAGUGCAGAAGGGGAGAGUGGAAUUCCAUGUGUAGCGGUGAAAUGCGUAGAUAUAUGGAGGAACACCGGUGGCGAAAGCGGCUCUCUGGUCUGUAACUGACGCUGAGGCUCGAAAGCGUGGGGAGCGAACAGG
RNAcentral lists this ribosomal RNA (429 nucleotides) under Bacteroidota bacterium. Its description in RNAcentral is "Bacteroidetes bacterium partial 16S ribosomal RNA". It matches the Rfam family "Bacterial small subunit ribosomal RNA", at positions 355 to 776 of the family's 1533-position model. The record is from RNAcentral. Lineage: Bacteria; Pseudomonadati; Bacteroidota.